Corythoichthys intestinalis (scribbled pipefish) is the source of this 417-nucleotide long non-coding RNA. RefSeq lists it as uncharacterized. The record is from RefSeq and is a predicted model, not a curated record. Lineage: Eukaryota; Metazoa; Chordata; Actinopteri; Syngnathiformes; Syngnathidae. The transcript is spliced from 3 exons.
UCGGGAACGUUGGCCUUUCUAACUGAGGGGACAAAGUUUUGUUCGCUCCAGAAACAAAUAAAAAGAUAAAGAAAAUCAAUUUGACAGAUGCAUCAACUGCUGCUGUGUGGCGUCUGUUGCUUAAUGCGAAUUCAGAUGGUCGUGUGGUAAAAAUAUUGAGCAGAGACCACUCGGCCAAAAGCCUUAUGUGAGAGGAAGAGGACCAGGCGUCGUCAGUUAAGACUAUUCGGUCAGGUUUUUUUUCUGAUUGGGGAAAAAAAAGAUCAUCGGAGGGGAUUCAACGAUGGCGAGCUAACCAGUGAUUGAAGAACCAAGAACAUUGAUGAUUCUGGAAUAACAGACGGACUGUCUGUCUGGUAGGAUUGUAUUAGUCAUCGGACUGAUACAUAUAGGCCUGUCGCGAUAACAAAUUUUAGU